Cyprinus carpio carpio is the source of this 3155-nucleotide long non-coding RNA. The record is from Ensembl. Lineage: Eukaryota; Metazoa; Chordata; Actinopteri; Cypriniformes; Cyprinidae.
UCGAGAGGUUAUUUCCGACAUUAUCCGUAGAUCCAAACGACUGACUGAGCUGCAUACAAAAAAGAAAGAAGAAAAAAAGCUGCGAUUAGAUCUAAUGAAUAUCUACUUAUAAUGUGGUGAAAUUGUAUCUUAAAUUGUGUGGGUCUGAUGAGUAUGUUCAAAUUCAAAUGCACAAUGAAUUAAAUAUUUAUUAUAAAACGGUAAGUAUGACAAAUAAGUCGUUAAUAUGCUUAUAUAUACGGUACACAUGGAAUCAGCAGCAGCAUCUAAUCCGAGGAACCCGGAAGGUUGCCUGUGUGUGACGUCACGGUAUCUUCAUCUUUAGCAAAAAGGAACGUCAAAAUCUCAGCAACAGAGGGCGACAAAGAGCAAGAAAUCAAUGCUGUAAUCCUACAGGUUUGAUUGCAGAUUAAUAAAUCACGUUUUCACUUAUUCAAAGACUGACGUAUCUGUGACGUUCAGCGCAGAACAAGAGCGACAUCUGCAUAUACAUAUAGAGUUGCAUCAUUAAUGUAAUUUAGGUCUUCCGUUCAACUAACACGAACACUUAGCGAUUUAGCUGACAAAACAAGUAAACUCGGCCAUAACGACUCGGGGGUUUCUAAGAACAUCCCUUCCUAGUUUCUAUAUUUGGAAAUGACUUCUAGGAAAAUAGAAACUGCCAGCUCCAUAUCCAGUUCCACGUGUUUAACUUGCACCCUUUUAAAGCAAAGGAAAAGCAUCGGGCAGCAGGAUGAUCAGCCACACAUUGAUGAUCAUUAAUAGACUGGAGACUGUCAGCAAGGAAUUUAGCGCACAAUUGGCGUGUGUUGCUGAAAAUGGCAUCUCCCCCUGCACGGCCCCUGCUUUACCUAGUAGCGUGACCAUGAAGCAAUGAACGAGCAGAGAGAUCUUAACAUGCACAGAGUCAGUCUGCUGCUCUAGACGCUUGCUCAUCUCACCAGCAGGAGCACGUAUAGCGUGCACUUAAAGAAACAAGAUCUCAUUCAGAUCAGCCAGAUGUUUCUUUCAGUCCCACAGUGCUGUUUUAUACAUUCGAGGCAUUGCUACUAACAAAACCUUUGGUUAUUGUGAUCACUGGAUUCCUUUAAAUGUUCAGAAGAAACCACUGGAGACCUUCCUGUUCCCUUUUCCCAGCAGCUACUUGUUAAAGGUGUUUAAAGCUUCCAGCAACCAGAUGCACUUCAUGGCGAUAGAUAAAGAAAUUCCCAUGCGCCAGGAGUUAAAUAGUCCAACAAGUUAGAGCAUUGUCUACAAUUUCAAGAUGCUCUCGGAGGAAGUAAACAAGCAGACAUGCAGACGUGAAAAUAAGAACCCUCUUCUUCCCCUCCUUCCAUGUGACUGCAGAGGCAUAUGACUUCCAUAACUUCAUCGCUUAUUAACCGCUGAUGGGAGGACACAAUUGAAUGAGUGUUUGUAGAACUUGCCCUAGAUAUUUAGAUCUCAGUCCUUGGCUGUGGCUGUUGGGCAGAUCUUCUCCUGUUUCAGAUAGCUUCACCCUGCCUGACAACAGACCGUGAGGAACUUCACAUGAGAGUCCCAUGUAAGGAGUGAACUAUGGGAUACAAAGGCCAGUUAUGAUCAUUUAAAUCCUUUAGCAAGCACCACAGAAAAACAAAAGACAGAUUAGCAUGAUUUACCAUGCCGGUGUUAUUAAAUUACAUCAUCUAGCCUACAUAUGAGCCAACACAACUGAUAUACAGACAGUGUGCAGAUGUGCGCAGACAGUGGAAUAUCUAUAUGUAAGCACUGUGUAUUCUUUGUCUAUUAAUGAUUUGGUACACCAGGCUUUGUAAGGUCUUGAAUAGAGCUAGUAUUGAUAAGACCAAAAAUACAUAUAGGAAAUAGGCCUAGGCUAUCUUUAAAAAACAAUCUUCACUAUUAGCAUUAAGGCUACCCUUACGAAAAAGAAGUUUAUUCAAGUGUGCUAUUAGUAUACUUCUUUUAAACUAAAAAUAGGAAAGUAUGCUUUUAGUUUACUUUUUAUGUACUUCUCAGAAAUGGGCUUUAUGUACUUCUCAGAAAUAUACUUAAAAUGACAUUUAAGUAUACUUGACUUAUACUUACAAAACGUCUAAAUAUACUUGAACUUUACUUAAGUAUACUUAAUAAAAUAAACUUGAAGUAUACUACUUUUUGGUAAGGGUAUGCAUGAACGACUUUAGUCAUUGUCUGGGCCUGACAUGGAUGUCGUUUAAAAAGUAAUGCAUUUAUAAAAUAUAUAAUUAAAAUAGUUUUUAUAUUAUGUUGUAUAUUUUAAAAUAACGCUGAUUGCUCUGAAACAAUAAAGUGAAAACGAACAAAGGCCUAUUAUUUUCUGUGGUUCGUGUGUAAAUAAAAACUGAUGGUAUGAUGCCACCUAGUGGUUGAUUUCAUGCAUCCAGCAGACCGAUGUCUAGGUUCAUUCAGCUCUUACCUUCAUAUAAAAGACAACAAGCUCUAUUAAUGAACCUGAUGUCAUUUCUGUGUAAUGCUGAGAAUGUGAGUGAGGAUAAGCAUUAGACCUUGAGAAAGGACGCACACCAUUUAUGAGGAGACUUUUAAGGACAAGAGGUGGGUGGGAGCUAGAUUUCCUCCUUGGCUUAGAAAAGACAACAUAAUCUUUGCCAGCUUCAGAAUUCCCAUCAUUCCCUGGAUGUUAACACAUUCAUUUUAGGUAAAGGAAAUUGCAAACCAGACCAGCUAUGGUCAUAUUCAAAGCUCCAGAAUGAUCCAUUCAUCAUGUUCUGUUUCUAUGCUGAGUAAUAGGCUACCUUUUUAAUGCUACAUUAGUCUAGGCAUAAACUGUGUAUUAAAACUUUCUAUCUUUCCUUUGGGACUUACAAAGUUAUAAGAGUUUGAAAGUAUUCAGAUUAAUUACAUGAAGUUUUAUUAUAUUUAAACUGUUUUCACAUUGUCCACAACCAUAUUCAAAAGAUCACUGCCUUUUUGUUGUUGUUUGUGAUUUACUGGAUAAGGAUUAUAUUUAUAUAUAUAUAUAUUUGUCAUUUCUACCUGAUUAAAUAUUUUAGAGCUUGACAACUAGAAAUUUGCUUUCAUUAUAAAAACGCACAUGAGGAUUUUAUUAAUUAAAGGGAUACUCCACCCCAAACGACUUUAUUCAACAAUUCCUUUGUCAAGUCUCCUCUGUGUGUCUCCAGAUCAGCAUAUGCUCU